AGUUUGAUCCUGGCUCAGAACGAACGCUGGCGGCAUGCCUAACACAUGCAAGUCGAACGAGACCUUCGGGUCUAGUGGCGCACGGGUGCGUAACGCGUGGGAAUCUGCCCUUGGGUUCGGGAUAACAGUUGGAAACGACUGCUAAUACCGGAUGAUGACUUCGGUCCAAAGAUUUAUCGCCCAGGGAUGAGCCCGCGUCGGAUUAGCUAGUUGGUGGGGUAAAAGCUCACCAAGGCGACGAUCCGUAGCUGGUCUGAGAGGAUGAUCAGCCACACUGGGACUGAGACACGGCCCAGACUCCUACGGGAGGCAGCAGUGGGGAAUAUUGGACAAUGGGCGAAAGCCUGAUCCAGCAAUGCCGCGUGAGUGAUGAAGGCCUUAGGGUUGUAAAGCUCUUUUACCCGGGAAGAUAAUGACUGUACCGGGAGAAUAAGCCCCGGCUAACUCCGUGCCAGCAGCCGCGGUAAUACGGAGGGGGCUAGCGUUGUUCGGAAUUACUGGGCGUAAAGCGCACGUAGGCGGCUUUGUAAGUUAGAGGUGAAAGCCCGGGGCUCAACUCCGGAAUUGCCUUUAAGACUGCAUCGCUAGAAUUGUGGAGAGGUGAGUGGAAUUCCGAGUGUAGAGGUGAAAUUCGUAGAUAUUCGGAAGAACACCAGUGGCGAAGGCGACUCACUGGACACGUAUUGACGCUGAGGUGCGAAAGCGUGGGGGAGCAAACAGGAUUAGAUACCCCUGUAGUCCA
RNAcentral lists this ribosomal RNA (742 nucleotides) under uncultured microorganism. RNAcentral describes it as "bacterial SSU rRNA". It matches the Rfam family "Bacterial small subunit ribosomal RNA", at positions 10 to 797 of the family's 1533-position model. The record is from RNAcentral.